UACGGGGGGGGCAAGCGUUGUUCGGAAUGACUGGGCGUAAAGGGCUCGUAGGCGGCCAACUAAGUCAGACGUGAAAUCCCUCGGCUUAACCGGGGAACUGCGUCUGAUACUGGAUGGCUUGAGAUUGGGAGAGGGAUGCGGAAUUCCAGGUGUAGCGGUGAAAUGCGUAGAUAUCUGGAGGAACACCGGUGGCGAAGGCGGCAUCCUGGACCAACACUGACGCUGAGGGAGCGAAAGCCAGGGGAGCAAACGGG
This 254-nucleotide ribosomal RNA is filed under the name uncultured bacterium. Its description in RNAcentral is "partial 16S ribosomal RNA". It matches the Rfam family "Bacterial small subunit ribosomal RNA", at positions 524 to 776 of the family's 1533-position model. The record is from RNAcentral.